Molecule: transfer RNA, 69 nt
Filed under: Ictidomys tridecemlineatus (thirteen-lined ground squirrel)
Lineage: Eukaryota; Metazoa; Chordata; Mammalia; Rodentia; Sciuridae
Description: Spermophilus tridecemlineatus (thirteen-lined ground squirrel) tRNA
Rfam family: tRNA
About the family: Transfer RNA (tRNA) molecules are approximately 80 nucleotides in length. Their secondary structure includes four short double-helical elements and three loops (D, anti-codon, and T loops).
Source: Rfam by way of RNAcentral
GGGGUUGUGGCUUAGCGGUAGAGCACUCACUUGGCACGUGGGAGGCCCUGGGUUCUAUCCUCAGCACCA